GAAUCGUAUAAUGGGAUCACAGAACGCUUUGGAUUGGAAGGGGCAGUAAAGAUCAUCCACUGCGAUCCCCAUUGCCAUGGGCAGGGGCACCUUCCACUGGAUCAGGCUGCUCAAGGCCCCAUCCAACCUGGCCUUGAACACUUGCAGGGAUGGAGCAGCCACAGUUUCUCCGGGCGAUGUGUUUCAGUGCCUCACCCUCCUCACGCUAAAUAAUCUCAUUUUAAUAUCUAAUCUAAACCAACUUCCAGUUUAAAACCAUUAGCCCUUGUCCUGUCACAUGCCCUUGUAAAAAGUCUCUUUCCAGCUUUCCUGUAUAUGCCAAAAGUCAGCUAGCAAGAAAACAGAGAGAGUAUCUAUCUAUUCUUUAUUUUUAUUUAGUCUAAAUUUAAAUGGUAAAACUUUGGAGAGGUUCUAGAGGCCUACUUUAGUGAGGACUGGCUAAAGCAGUUUAUUUUUGUUGAGAGCAGUCUAAGCCACCUGGUUUGUAGGCAGUAAAUUCCCGUACCUUUUACUGAAUGCCUGUUAAAGAACAAGGGCAACGGGCACCGUCUGCACAGAACAGGGUGGGAGCGAAGGAGACAUCGAUGUAGUGCAGGGGGAUGAUGUGUGAAUUAUGGUGUCUUGCUUUCCCUGCAGAUUGAAGAUAGGCAGGCCGAGAUGAGCAGGAGGAAUGUGCCUCAGAGGUAAAGAUGAGGAACAUGCUCUUGAAAAGAGGGUGACUGCACCUGAAGGCAUUGCUCAGAAGAGGAAGGUGUAUGCUAAUGAGCGAUUUCAAGAAGCAGCAGGAAGAAAUGCAGCUGUGGAUGGGGAGGGAAAGAAAGGUAAGUGUGAAAGUCAUCAGCACUGAGGAGAGGAGUGAAGUCACCCAGAGGCCAGGGCAGAGGGAGAAGCAGCAGCUCACCAAAGCCAGAAACCAGCAGAGUGAGUUUUCCUUGUGUUUGCAUAAGUUAGCACCUGUGUUGCUUGCAGCUGGAGGAGGGCAUGUGGGGGGGGUGGGAGACCUUCUUUCCCUGGGAAACUGGAGGGUUGCUGUUUUACAUAUGAACGAGGCCUGACGACAGAAAAUGACUCCAGUUGUAUGCUAAUACUGAAGCAUUUGCGCUGCUGAUACUAUUGAAAGUGCCAUUUCCAGUGGGAAGGACCCACAGUUUUUUAUUUCCCCGCAGGAUCUCCACUAAUCUCCAUUAUAUUAAUACACUUAGUGCACAUCGUUUCCCUCAAGUGGGCUUGAGAGGAGGAUGAUACAUAGAACUGAUAAUGAAGUGCCUUUUCCAUCUAGUUGCAGUGUUUGGGUUUUUAGAGUGAAUGUGCUGCUGUGGAGUUUCUUGUCCCAAAUUUGGAACGAU
Molecule: long non-coding RNA, 1346 nt
Organism: Hirundo rustica (Barn swallow)
Lineage: Eukaryota; Metazoa; Chordata; Aves; Passeriformes; Hirundinidae
Exons: 2
Source: RefSeq, a predicted model, not a curated record